RNAcentral lists this ribosomal RNA (443 nucleotides) under uncultured bacterium. Its description in RNAcentral is "partial 16S ribosomal RNA". It matches the Rfam family "Bacterial small subunit ribosomal RNA", at positions 338 to 795 of the family's 1533-position model. The record is from RNAcentral.
CCUACGGGCGGCAGCAGUGGGGGAUAUUGGACAAUGGGGGAAACCCUGAUCCAGCGACGCCGCGUGAGUGAAGAAGUAUUUCGGUAUGUAAAGCUCUGUCAGCAGGGAAGAAAGAAAUGACGGUACUUGACCAAGAAGCCCCGGCUAACUACGUGCCAGCAGCCGCGGUAAUACGUAGGGGGCAAGCGUUAUCCGGAAUUACUGGGGGUAAAGGGGGCGUAGACGGUGGUGCAAGUCUGGAGUGAAAGGCGGUGGCCCAACCCCCGGACUGCUCUGGAAACUGUGUAACUUGAGUGCAGGAGAGGUAAGCGGAAUUCCGAGUGUAGCGGUGAAAUGCGUAGAUAUUAGGAGGAACACCAGUGGCGAAGGCGGCUUACUGGACUGUAACUGACGUUGAGGCUCGAAAGCGUGGGGAGCAAACAGGAUUAGAUACCCCUGUAGUC